RNAcentral lists this ribosomal RNA (492 nucleotides) under uncultured bacterium. RNAcentral describes it as "partial 16S ribosomal RNA". It matches the Rfam family "Bacterial small subunit ribosomal RNA", at positions 29 to 507 of the family's 1533-position model. The record is from RNAcentral.
AGUGAACGCUGGCGGUAGGCCUAACACAUGCAAGUCGAACGGCAGCACAGUAAAAGCUUGCUCUUACGGGUGGCGAGUGGCGGACGUGUGAGGAAUACAUCGGAAUCUACUUUUUCGUGGGGGAUAACGUAGGGAAACUUACGCUAAUACCGCAUACGACCUACGGGUGAAAGCAGGGGAUCUUCGGACCUUGCGCGAUUGAAUGAGCCGAUGUCGGAUUAGCUAGUUGGCGGGGUAAAGGCCCACCAAGGCGACGAUCCGUAGCUGGUCUGAGAGGAUGAUCAGCCACACUGGAACUGAGACACGGUCCAGACUCCUACGGGAGGCAGCAGUGGGGAAUAUUGGACAAUGGGCGCAAGCCUGAUCCAGCCAUACCGCGUGGGUGAAGAAGGCCUUCGGGUUGUAAAGCCCUUUUGUUGGGAAAGAAAAGCAGCAGGUUAAUACCCCGCUGUUCUGACGGUACCCAAAGAAUAAGCACCGGCUAACUUCGUG